GCCCUGGUGGUGUAGCCUGGUCUAUCAUGAAGCCCUGUCGAGGCUUCGACCCGGGUUCAAACAACUGUUUCGCUCAUUGCAGACAUCAAGUUUGAGCGCAUUUGAAAGUCCCGGCCAGGGCG
RNAcentral lists this transfer RNA (122 nucleotides) under Candidatus Woesearchaeota archaeon. RNAcentral describes it as "tRNA-Asp". Lineage: Archaea; Nanobdellati; Candidatus Woesearchaeota. The record is from RNAcentral.